UUUCCAGGCAGCUUCCUCUCCGAAUCCCUCGCCAUCGCCCGCUUCUCUUUACCCACGCACGCAACCUCCUCCCCUGCCUCAAUGGCCGCCGCUCUCGUCUCCUCUUUUCCUCUCUCCCUCUCGUUUCCUCUCACAUGUGACCAGCCGCCACGGGCGUCGCCAGCGGGAGAGGAGACGGCUCCGUUCUCCCACGCAGCCACACAAACGGCGUCGCCUCGAGGGAGGAUUGGGUGGGAGGAGAAGGCGGCGGCGGCGUUUUCGAUCUGUGAUUUGCCUCGCACGUGAGGCGGUGGAUCGAUCCGGUUGCCCGCCGCCGUUGUCGCCUGCUCUCCCCACUCGCGUCACCCGACCUUAGAAAGCUCACGGCCUCACGGGGACAAGGUCCGCGCUGGCGGGCGCGGAGGAGGGGGAGAUCUCGGACGACGGAGACGGCUCCGCCGCUGCGGGGCGCGGCAGCCGGAGCGGGUUCGCCACGGAGAUGGCCGUUCGCGGCGUCGCCCUCGGGGAGAGAAGGGGAGGGGAGGGCCAGACGAAGAGAGGAGGGAGAGGGAGAAGGCGAGCCCAUGGAGAAGUGCCACCGCAAGUAGAUCUUGCCGUCGGCGGCAAGAAGGCCACGCCCCCCCUCCACCUCGUGCGUUCAGCCAGCAGUGGAAGCAAUGCCCUUUUUCCCCUGUUGAGAGAUCAAAUCAAAUUGCAUCGGUACGCCAUGCCGCCACCAAUUUGAUCAUGCAAACCUGAUGAAGAUAAUGUAUUAUGUGCGGCCAUUCAUGCAGAGUAUGUCUGGUUCGCCGGCCACUAUCUUGGAUACAAAUGAUCUAAAUGAUACCAAAAUCUUAGCAUCAAUGUAACGCUGCAAUUUUCUGUGUUAUCUGAAUUUAGCUGCAGGAAUUGUUGCACCUUUGCCUUUCUUCCUUCAUAUUCCACUAGAUGGGUGCUACUCACUGUUGAAGUAUUUGUCAGUUAUACCGAUUGUGUUGUUGUAGUUUUCUCA
This is a long non-coding RNA of Triticum aestivum (bread wheat), 991 nucleotides long. RefSeq lists it as uncharacterized. The record is from RefSeq and is a predicted model, not a curated record. Lineage: Eukaryota; Viridiplantae; Streptophyta; Magnoliopsida; Poales; Poaceae. The transcript has 2 exons.